Molecule: ribosomal RNA, 596 nt
Filed under: Shigella sonnei
Lineage: Bacteria; Pseudomonadati; Pseudomonadota; Gammaproteobacteria; Enterobacterales; Enterobacteriaceae
Description: partial 23S ribosomal RNA
Rfam family: Bacterial large subunit ribosomal RNA
Source: RNAcentral
AGUGUGUGUGUUAGUGGAAGCGUCUGGAAAGGCGCGCGAUACAGGGUGACAGCCCCGUACACAAAAAUGCACAUAUUGUGAGCUCGAUGAGUAGGGCGGGACACGUGGUAUCCUGUCUGAAUAUGGGGGGCCCAUCCUCCAAGGCUAAAUACUCCUGACUGACCGAUAGUGAACCAGUACCGUGAGGGAAAGGCGAAAAGAACCCCGGCGAGGGGAGUGAAAAAGAACCUGAAACCGUGUACGUACAAGCAGUGGGAGCACGCUUAGGCGUGUGACUGCGUACCUUUUGUAUAAUGGGUCAGCGACUUAUAUUCUGUAGCAAGGUUAACCGAAUAGGGGAGCCGAAGGGAAACCGAGUCUUAACUGGGCGUUAAGUUGCAGGGUAUAGACCCGAAACCCGGUGAUCUAGCCAUGGGCAGGUUGAAGGUUGGGUAACACUAACUGGAGGACCGAACCGACUAAUGUUGAAAAAUUAGCGGAUGACUUGUGGCUGGGGGUGAAAGGCCAAUCAAACCGGGAGAUAGCUGGUUCUCCCCGAAAGCUAUUUAGGUAGCGCCUCGUGAAUUCAUCUCCGGGGGUAGAGCACUGUUUCGGCA